GAUGAACGCUGGCGGCAUGCCUAACACAUGCAAGUCGGACGGGAAGACGUGUUUCCAGUGCCGGACGGGUUAGUAACGCGUAAGAACGUGCCCUUUGGAUGGGAACCACAGCUGGCAAGGGCUGCUAAUACCCCGUAGGCUGAGUAGCAAAAGAAAGAAUCCGCCGGAGGAGGCGCUUGCGUCUGAUUAGUUAGUUGGUGAGUGAAUGGCUUACCACGUCGAUGAUCAGUAGCGGAACCGAGAGGAUGAUCGGCCACACUGCAACUGAGACACGGCCCAGACUGCUACGGGAGGCAGGAGUAGGCAAUUUCGGGCGAAGGGAGUAAGCAAGAUUCAGCAAUGCCGCAUGGGUGAAGAGGGCAUUCGGGUGGGAAAGUACUAUGCUUAGGGAAGAAGAACUGCUUUUCAAGGAGAAGAAGUAAUGACGGUACCUAGGGAAUAAGCAUCGGCUAACUCUGUG
Molecule: ribosomal RNA, 460 nt
Filed under: uncultured bacterium
Lineage: Bacteria
Description: partial 16S ribosomal RNA
Rfam family: Bacterial small subunit ribosomal RNA
Source: RNAcentral